UGGGGAAUAUUGCACAAUGGGCGAAAGCCUGAUGCAGCGACGCCGCGUGAGGGAUGACGGCCUUCGGGUUGUAAACCUCUUUCAGCAGGGACGAAGCGCAAGUGACGGUACCUGCAGAAGAAGCACCGGCUAACUACGUGCCAGCAGCCGCGGUAAUAAGUAGGGUGCAAGCGUUGUCCGGAAUUACUGGGCGUAAAGAGUUCGUAGGCGGUUUGUCGCGUCGUUUGUGAAAACCAGCAGCUCUACUGCUGGCUUGCAGGCGAUACGGGCAGACUUGAGUACUGCAGGGGAGACUGGAGUUCCUGGUGUAGCGGUGAAAUGCGCAGAUAUCAGGAGGAACACCGGUUGCGAAGGCGUCUCUCUGUGCAGUAACUGACGCUGAGGAACGAAAGCGUGGGUAGCGAACAGG
Molecule: ribosomal RNA, 409 nt
Filed under: Gemmatimonadota bacterium
Lineage: Bacteria; Pseudomonadati; Gemmatimonadota
Description: Gemmatimonadetes bacterium partial 16S ribosomal RNA
Rfam family: Bacterial small subunit ribosomal RNA
Source: RNAcentral